GUCCCAAUGAGGAUCCCAAGACCUACCGAUAGGAAGUGCCGUUUGACCCUGUAAACAGCAGCUGCUUCUUUCAGCUGCAGGUGUCUAUCCUUCGACCAUAACCUUUGUGGUUUUGUCUAGGAUAGAGUCCCAUCUGUAGUUGUUUGAUUAAGCUGUGGUGUGUGAUUUAAAUCGGGUCUCUGAGGGGU
Molecule: small nucleolar RNA, 188 nt
Filed under: Sorghum bicolor (sorghum)
Lineage: Eukaryota; Viridiplantae; Streptophyta; Magnoliopsida; Poales; Poaceae
Description: snoRNA snoZ112
Rfam family: Small nucleolar RNA Z112
About the family: Z112 is a member of the C/D class of snoRNA which contain the C (UGAUGA) and D (CUGA) box motifs. Most of the members of the box C/D family function in directing site-specific 2'-O-methylation of substrate RNAs.
Source: Rfam by way of RNAcentral